This 336-nucleotide unclassified non-coding RNA is filed under the name uncultured fungus. Its description in RNAcentral is "partial contains 5.8S ribosomal RNA and internal transcribed spacer 2". The stretch from base 1 to 133 matches the Rfam family "5.8S ribosomal RNA", at positions 22 to 154 of the family's 154-position model. Lineage: Eukaryota; Fungi. The record is from RNAcentral.
UGGCUCUGGCAUCGAUGAAGAACGCAGCGAAACGCGAUAAGUAAUGUGAAUUGCAGAAUUUAGUGAAUCAUCGAAUCUUUGAACGCACAUUGCGCCCGCCAGUAUUCUGGCGGGCAUGCCUGUCCGAGCGUCAUUACAACCCUCAGGCCCCCGGGCCUGGUGUUGGGGAUCGGCGGAGCCCUCCGGGGCACACGCCGUCCCCCAAAUUCAGUGGCGGUCUCGCUGCAGCCUCCGUUGCGUAGUAGUAACAUCUCGCAACUGGAAGGCGGCGCGGCCACGCCGUAAAACCCCCAACUUCUGAAUGUUGACCUCGGAUCAGGUAGGAAUACCCGCUGA